GGUAGAGUGGCUGAAUUAGGUGUGGGGCUGUAAACCCCAAUAUGGAGCUGGGCUCCCUCUAUCAGCAG
RNAcentral lists this transfer RNA (68 nucleotides) under Acanthodactylus schmidti. RNAcentral describes it as "tRNA-Tyr". The record is from RNAcentral. Lineage: Eukaryota; Metazoa; Chordata; Lepidosauria; Squamata; Lacertidae.